AGUCUCUAGUGCUUGCCCUAGGCUGUUAGCUGACUGCACAGACAGGGAGACGGAGUAUAUCUACCACACAUUUCUUAGCCUAGGCCACCGUGCAUAGUCUGUAUCAUGAAACUCUGGAAAGACAA
Small nucleolar RNA from Peromyscus leucopus (white-footed mouse), 125 nucleotides. RefSeq annotates it as small nucleolar RNA SNORA51. The record is from RefSeq and is a predicted model, not a curated record. NCBI's taxonomy places the organism in Eukaryota, Metazoa, Chordata, Mammalia, Rodentia, Cricetidae. The transcript has a single exon.